GAUGAACGCUAGCGGGAGGCCUAACACAUGCAAGCCGAGCGGUAUUGUUUCUUCGGAAAUGAGAGAGCGGCGUACGGGUGCGUAACACGUGUGCAACCUGCCUUUAUCUGGGGGAUAGCCUUUCGAAAGGAAGAUUAAUACUCCAUAAUAUAUUGAACGGCAUCGUUUAAUAUUGAAAGCUCCGGCGGAUAGAGAUGGGCACGCGCAAGAUUAGCUAGUUGGUGAGGUAACGGCUCACCAAGGCGAUGAUCUUUAGGGGGCCUGAGAGGGUGAUCCCCCACACUGGUACUGAGACACGGACCAGACUCCUACGGGAGGCAGCAGUGAGGAAUAUUGGUCAAUGGGUGCAAGCCUGAACCAGCCAUCCCGCGUGAAGGACGACUGCCCUAUGGGUUGUAAACUUCUUUUGUAUAGGGAUAAACCUACCCUCGAGAGGGUAGCUGAAGGUACUAUACGAAUAAGCACCGGCUAACUCCGU
RNAcentral lists this ribosomal RNA (478 nucleotides) under uncultured bacterium. Its description in RNAcentral is "partial 16S ribosomal RNA". It matches the Rfam family "Bacterial small subunit ribosomal RNA", at positions 28 to 506 of the family's 1533-position model. The record is from RNAcentral.